UGCAAGUCAAUGGGCAUUUGUCUAAACCCAUGGGCGAAAUGAAAGUGAGAAAGGGUGCUUUUAGCGCUCUGAGGGCUGAUCCCUGAUCCAAGUCGUGGGUGCUAAAGGUCAUGCAGAAGUGUACUGAGGUGAGUUCUCUUUUCCCUCUGGUAUAACAUGUUGGCACGAACCACUUGUCUCCGGACGAACACGGCGCUUUGGGUCUACACCCAUGCAAAUGGGGGGUCGCAAGCCCGGGACGUGUCAAGACGCGACCGCUUGUGCCGGCUUGCUGGUAGCUUGUGGCCUGUAGUCGACAUGUACCUUGAGCAGACAUGUUAGUACCCGAAAGAUGGUGAACUAUGCCUGGCCAGGAUGAAGCCAGAGGAAACUCUGGUGGAGGUCCGAAGCAAUUCUGACGUGCAAAUCGAUUGUCAGAGCUGGGCAUAGGGGCGAAAGACUAAUCGAACCAUCUAGUAGCUGGUUCCCUCCGAAGUUUCCCUCAGGAUAGCUGGGACUCGUCUACGGAUUAACAUCCGGUAAAGCGAAUGAUUAGAGGUUUUGGGGACGGAACGUCCUCAAGCUAUUCUCAAACUUUAAAUGGGUGAGAAGCCAAGCUUGCUUAACUGAAGCUUUGGUCUUUGUUUUUAAUCUGAGAGCCUAGUGGGCCAAUUUU
Molecule: ribosomal RNA, 655 nt
Filed under: Coralliogalathea parva
Lineage: Eukaryota; Metazoa; Arthropoda; Malacostraca; Decapoda; Galatheidae
Description: partial 28S ribosomal RNA
Rfam family: Eukaryotic large subunit ribosomal RNA
Source: RNAcentral